UUGUGUGUGUUUUAUUGAAAGCAUAAAAAUAACAAAAAUGAAAAAUUUUUGCCUAAUGCAAGCAAACUAAAGAUUAAAGCGAAAAUAAACUUAAAAAAGAUUAAAGCGAAAAUAAACUUAAAAGUAAAAAUUCAGAGAUAUGCACCCCCACACUUAAAUCAUGCAUUGUCCUCAAUGUAUAAGAAACAUAAAAGAACAAAGGAAACU
RNAcentral lists this long non-coding RNA (207 nucleotides) under Manihot esculenta (cassava). RNAcentral's name for it is "long non-coding RNA (MESC_LNC009593)". Lineage: Eukaryota; Viridiplantae; Streptophyta; Magnoliopsida; Malpighiales; Euphorbiaceae. The record is from RNAcentral.